Drosophila pseudoobscura is the source of this 1711-nucleotide long non-coding RNA. RefSeq lists it as uncharacterized. The transcript has 3 exons. Lineage: Eukaryota; Metazoa; Arthropoda; Insecta; Diptera; Drosophilidae. The record is from RefSeq and is a predicted model, not a curated record.
AUGUUGCUGAAGCAUGCUGCAUUCAAAUGUUGCUUAAAAUUGUUCAAUGUAUCGAAGCAGCGCCACUGUGCCAUUGCUACGCAUUUAGCUACAUGAUGGCUAACAUACGUCUGAAGAAACCAUACGAUUCAAGUGAAAAAAUUAUAAAACUUGUUAUAUGUGGAGUGGCAAUGGUGGAGUGGUUAUAUGUGGCAGAGUUGUGUGAGAGAAGGAAACGGGACGAGCAAGAAAAGAAGAGGAGUUUCCGGUACAAAAUAGAGGAGGCCGCACGUGCCCUGAAAAAAAAUUAGAAAAAUUUCGCGAUCGUGGAGUCGAGAAUCCCUCCACGGCAUCUGUGGCAGGAGGCAUCAACUGCAGCAGGAGCGGCGGACAUCGCAGCAGCAGACCGGUACUGGCCAGGCCGGAAAACCUGGUGCGAGAACUGCCAGCGAAACACCGGCACUAAGGAAUCCAGCGGAGCACCGACUGGAGACACGUUUUUGCCACCACACACCGACACCCCCAGGGAAAGGAAUCCGAGCUUCAAAGCAAAAAUACACACACACACACACAUGAUUCAAAUCACCCACCUUCAUCCACACCCACCCAAAAUUUCGCACGCCCCCUUCCGACCCACAAAGGAGGAAAAUGUGUGGUAUCCAAAAUUUUAAAUGUACGAGACAACCAAAUACGCAGAAUCAUUGAGAAUGACUAUAUAUUCUAGAUGGCAGAAUCUGGAUCAGAUCGGAUCAUUAUUAUAACCAAAAGGAACAAAUCAAUUUGCAGUGGCUCUCUCUCUGACUCUCUGUCGUUCAAUGUUAGUUAGUCUAGUCAUUCUGCCGGAGGAAAGUCAUACUGAAUCCGCCUUUGGUAUCACUACUCGUUUUUGAACUGAGGAGAGAAUUAUGAUAAAUUCAACGGGUAUGGAGACAAACUGCCUGGCAAAUUCGCAAGCUUAUUACGAUUUUAGCGCUCUUCGGCUAACGGUACACAAGAGCCCAUUAGCAGUACCAACGAGGAGCAGAGCAAAGCAAAUCGGAACCGAGCGGAGUGGAGGGUUUUGGCAUUUUGUAUACCUUUUUGUCAUCAACUGCACAGAUUCCGAUUAAUAGUGGUUCACAAAGAUAUCGGAACUUGUAUUUAAUUCAGUGGUUUGAUUAUAUGAACAACUUGAUAGUAUUUGACAACUCUUUUAAUGUUGGUGGUGUUUAAGCAAUGGAUUCGCAAGGAUUGCACUGAUCCAACGCGGGCUUAUGUGCGUAUUGCUUUUUGACAUCCCACCACGGUGCCGCAAAAAACACAUAAGUUGCCUUUCGUUCGAAAUUCGACCAAAACGGAGGAACGGGAAGCAGCUCUAUGCCUACACAUUGCCGAACACACGGCGACUGCGACAAGUGAUCAUUUCUCAAUGUUGAGUGUGGAGCAGUCUUCAGCUUGCAAAGUGCACCUACAUUAUUAAAAAUGUACUCGCACUGCAUUUCAUGGACGGCUUUCGAACUGACAUCGGAAACUCAGCUUUUAUUCUUCUGUUGGACGAGUCUACUGACAUUAGAGUGACAUUAUAAUUAUGUACAUAUAUUUGGUAACUUUAAUAUUCGGGUAUUUUUUUUCUCAACUUCAAUAAAUGAAGAAAACGAAUGAAAUUCAUAAACCUAAAAAAAUAAAUAAAUUAAUCUAAAUGGUAGAAUAAAGCUUGCAGUAUUAAAUUUUCGGAAUGGUAUAUUUUAUAUUA